This 1292-nucleotide long non-coding RNA is filed under the name Monodon monoceros (narwhal). Its description in RNAcentral is "lncRNA (ENSMMNG00015014728.1)". Lineage: Eukaryota; Metazoa; Chordata; Mammalia; Artiodactyla; Monodontidae. The record is from RNAcentral.
AUGAAUAGAAUGUUCCUAUUAAUUUUUCUUUUUUUCUUUUUUUUUUUAGGUAAGAAGUGGAUUUAUUUAGAGAGAAACACACUCCACAGGCAGAGUGUGGGCCAUCUCAGAAGGUCUCAAGGGUUUCCACAUCUGCAGACGGAAGAGCUUAAUCCUCCAUCAGUAUCCUCCGACAGCACAUUCAGUUGGGGGCAGUGUCUUAUCUUCCGACGUCCGUUCACCCUCAUGCUUCACACAUACUCUGCCACUGAUGGUUUCUUAGACUCUGGCUUUCUUCAGGUCCUUGAUAUCAACCAGUUACCCUUUGGGAGAAGAAAGGGCAUCAGCAAAAGAAGACCAACGAGCUUAAAUUUUCAAUGAACCUACUGUUUUCUCACAUGUACACGAGAUACCUGGUGUGUGAUACACCCAUGUCAGAACGUCCAGAAGGAGCAAAGUCCAGAAGUAGAAGAGAUUGUAAAGGAAUCCUAACCAGCACAAAGGUUGCUUGUCUGCUUCCUUAUUGAAGUCAAGAGGAGGAACAAGGCAGACAGGCCUUCUGCUGGGGGGAAGCACAGACUAUUCAUGUCAGAGAGAAAAAAAAGGUGCCCAAUUCCCAUUUGCUUCCAACUCUGCCUCCCUUGAGAAUAGUCCCCAAACUGAGGAGAAAAAGUAACAUCAUAUGGAAUAAAAUGAGGCUCCCGACAGUAGAGGAGAUGUUAGUGGAACCCUCUUCCUGGGGGCAAAGACCGCUGUCACAUUUCCCAUCUAGGUUGACUCACGUCCCUGAAUCAGUACUUCCAGGGAGAGGCGGUCUAACUAGAGACAGAUCCAUUUAUUAGUCCUAGAUUUCAACAUAGAUAAGGAAACUGAAACCUGUCCUUUUCAGCAAUUUUUAAAAUUUAAAUCAGUAAAGACCCACUAGGUAGGCUUCUCUAAGCUAAAGAUGACGUAGCUCUGGGAGGGACAAGUAAAUGGCUUUGGGGUGACAAAGUCAGGAUUUGAAACAGUCUUAUCAGGGUGGAAAAAGAGGAAAUUUUAUAAGGGAAAAUUUAAUAUAUUUGGGUUCAACAAAUUUAAUCAUCCAAGUGCGUAAUGGGGGUGCCUGAGAUGGGCUUAUGGAGGGGCCUGAAGGGGCUGGUUUUCCACAGGCUCCUUGUGGACCAGGAGUGUGGGGCUCAAGAGAGCCCAGGCACACACCGGAGGUGCCAACCCAGAACAAAGGAGGGGGUGCAGCCCAUUUCCACUCCCUGCUCCUUAGGACACGUGGAUGUCCAGUGUGGGGUGCAGGCUUCUGGAGACUAACAAAGAAG